ACGUGGACUAUGAUGCGGAACAGUAAUCGUUUCCCGCGGGCAAAGAGAGCCCCCGUUUUGCUGAAAGGGGGAGCCGCGGUGCGGUGAAGCUCGCCGCGGAGUCUGCCGCGGCAAUGCGCGGCGCGUUCCUCGCGUUACAGGGGGCUAAAGCGGGCGGUUUAUGCCGCCAAGCGGAGUGGUACCGCGGAAAAAUGUUCCGUCUCUUGC
This 207-nucleotide non-coding RNA is filed under the name Clostridium sp. RNAcentral describes it as "T-box sequence". It matches the Rfam family "T-box leader". Rfam says of the family: Uncharged tRNA acts as the effector for transcription antitermination of genes in the T-box leader family. T-boxes are found upstream of many aminoacyl-tRNA synthetase genes and some amino acid biosynthetic genes usually in Gram-positive bacteria. Lineage: Bacteria; Bacillati; Bacillota; Clostridia; Eubacteriales; Clostridiaceae. The record is from RNAcentral.